UGAAGAACGCAGCUAGCUGCGAGAAUUAAUGUGAAUUGCAGGACACAUUGAUCAUCGACACUUCGAACGCACUUGCGGCCCCGGGUUCCUCCCGGGGCUACGCCUGUCUGAGCGUCG
Ribosomal RNA from Moschus moschiferus (Siberian musk deer), 117 nucleotides. It matches the Rfam family "5.8S ribosomal RNA". Rfam says of the family: 5.8S ribosomal RNA (5.8S rRNA) is a component of the large subunit of the eukaryotic ribosome. It is transcribed by RNA polymerase I as part of the 45S precursor that also contains 18S and 28S rRNA. Functionally, it is thought that 5.8S rRNA may be involved in ribosome translocation. Lineage: Eukaryota; Metazoa; Chordata; Mammalia; Artiodactyla; Moschidae. The record is from Ensembl.